Molecule: microRNA precursor, 510 nt
Filed under: Musa AAB Group
Lineage: Eukaryota; Viridiplantae; Streptophyta; Magnoliopsida; Zingiberales; Musaceae
Description: miR398a
Rfam family: MIR398 microRNA precursor family (bases 184-282)
Source: RNAcentral
AACACUAUGACAACCCAAUGAUCUGUCAAGAGCCUUUAUAUAAGGGGGAUCAGGAAAGACCAAAGCAGAACAUCCACCGCAAGUAACUAAACAGAUUAUGUGUCGAGAGAGAGAGAGAGAGAGAGAGAUCUCAAAGUUCCUUCUCCAUGACCAUGGCCAGCGUUGUUUGCACAGAUGAAAGAGGUAGAUCGCAAAGGAGUGCUACCGGAGAACACAGAAUCAAGUGCCAAACCGAGACUUGCCACUUCGUCUGUGUUCUCAGGUCACCCCUUUGUGUCACCUGGUUCUACCAACUACCCUUCUUCUCCUUGUGGCAUUGUCUUCCGUAGUUAGAUCACGGGCACUGAAAGGCUGCUUCAGUUUGAAACCUUUCCCUGGUUUUCUCUUUGUACGUGAUGCUUGUUUAAACUUGACUUGACCUUUCUUAUUCUGCAUCUUCCAUGGUCUCGUGCAGGGACAGGGCUCUUUUGGGUGGGCAAUGUUGGAACAAGCAUGGGCUCUCAGGUCAUC